UCCCUGGUGGUCUAGUGGUUAGGAUUUGGUGCUCUCACCACAAUGGCCUGGGUUCAAUUCCCGGUCAGGGAA
Rhincodon typus (whale shark) is the source of this 72-nucleotide non-coding RNA. NCBI's taxonomy places the organism in Eukaryota, Metazoa, Chordata, Chondrichthyes, Orectolobiformes, Rhincodontidae. The record is from the annotation of a RefSeq genome assembly.